GUAGUUGGCAAGCGUUGUCCGGGAAUUAUUGGGGCGUAAAGCGCGCGCAGGCGGUUCUUUAAGUCUGAUGUGAAAGCCCACGGGCUCAACCGUGGAGGGUCAUUGGAAACUGGAGAACUUGAGUACAGAAGAGGAAAGCGGAAUUCCACGUGUGGCGGUGAAAUGCGUAGAGAUGUGGAGGAACACCAGUGGCGAAGGCGGCUUUCUGGUCUGUAACUGACGCUGAGGCGCGAAAGCGUGGGGAGCAAACAGGAUUAGAUACCCUGGUAGUCCACGCCGUAAACGAUGAGUGCUAAGUGUUAGGGGGUUUCCGCCCCUUAGUGCUGCAGCUAACGCAUUAAGCACUCCGCCUGUGGAGUACGGCCGCAAAGGCUG
This 375-nucleotide ribosomal RNA is filed under the name uncultured organism. RNAcentral describes it as "partial 16S ribosomal RNA". It matches the Rfam family "Bacterial small subunit ribosomal RNA", at positions 527 to 896 of the family's 1533-position model. The record is from RNAcentral.